RNAcentral lists this ribosomal RNA (401 nucleotides) under uncultured Choricystis. RNAcentral's name for it is "partial small subunit ribosomal RNA". It matches the Rfam family "Eukaryotic small subunit ribosomal RNA", at positions 30 to 432 of the family's 1831-position model. Lineage: Eukaryota; Viridiplantae; Chlorophyta; Trebouxiophyceae. The record is from RNAcentral.
GCUUGUCUCAAAGAUUAAGCCAUGCAUGUCUAAGUAUAAACAAAUCUAUACUGUGAAACUGCGAAUGGCUCAUUAUAUCAGUUAUAGUUUAUUUGAUGGUUCUUGCUACUUGGAUAACCGUAGUAAUUCUAGAGCUAAUACAUGCGUCAAACCUCGACUUCUGGGAGAGGUGUAUUUAUUAGAUAAAAGGCCGACCGGGCUUGCCCGACUCGCGGUGAAUCAUGAUAACUUCACGAAUCGCAUGGCCUCGUGCCGGCGAUGUUUCAUUCAAAUUUCUGCCCUAUCAACUUUCAACCGUAAGGUAGUGGCCUACGGUGGUGGUAACGGGUGACGGAGGAUUAGGGUUCGAUUCCGGAGAGGGAGCCUGAGAAACGGCUACCACAUCCAAGGAAGGCAGCAGG